GUGAGUGUGAAAGUGUGUGUGAGUGUGAACUGUGUGAGCAUGUGGGUCAAGUCUUGCACCUCUCCACACCAGUGAGGAGUCAAAAGGCUCCCUGGAAAACUCUGGGUUUUCUAUGGCACCCAUUCAGGCUUCUACACCACCAGGGUGUCAGCAGGACUCAGUCCGCCGUGGGCCCCGCUCAACGGGAAAUGUGAUUCCCAGGGGUCACUGGUUCUCAACACAGGAGGAAACACCUGUAGUCUCUUCAAGCCUCACUAAACAACUCCUCAUUCUUUUAAUAUUGCUUGUCUGUUUAUUCCAUUUUAAAACACGUUAGCCCCUCCCCUUGCCCCCCAGCUACUACCAAAAUGGCACAGCUUAAUCAUGCUUAAAUAUGGGGACUCUGGUUCUGACGGUACACAUACCCAUGGAGGAAGAGGCCAACUCAAUCGGGGAAGAAAGGAGAAGACACUCAAGCUCUUCAACUGAGAAUUUGCCUCCGGGCAAGACAGCGGAGCAUACUGAAGAGAUUAUUUAAUUCAGAGUCACAGAGCCUUGUUUGGAAUCCGGCUGCACUGCUAGCAGUGUGGCCUUGGGUGAGGAAACAGAGACUCCGAGAGGUUACCUCACGUGUCCCUGGGACCCAGCUGGUGGGAGCAGAGCCAUGGUUUGAAUCCAGUUUUCAGAUUAAACAUCACGUACCCAGAGAGGACUUACCUGAGCUCCAGAACUAAGAUCAGAGAAACUGCCAGAUGCUCACACAGCAUCCUUCCUGUCUCUCCUCUUCAUUAGCAGUCUUCUCACCUGUUUGUUUUCCCUCCUAGAUCCUAAGAUUAGGGACAGUGUCCCUCUUACUCAUUGAUAUAGCCCUAGCACCCAGGAUAGUGCUGGUUGAAUAGAAUUGAAACGUUCCCGCAUUUCAGUCAAAUGUUCAGGACAUCUUCCUCACGUACAAUGCCUUGGGCCAUGAAGACAUUACCCUCCAAUUGAGUGCUUUGGGGUCAUUUUUUUUUAGCUAAAACCUACAAUUAAAGAAAUAUUUACUGUGCAGAAGAGUUCCGUGGCCUCUAAUUCAGUCCAAUUUAGCUUAACGAAUCAAACAUUUACUUCCCCUACCACAACUUUAUUCUCUGCCUCUACUCUGUCCACCAGCCUCACUUGUGGUCUGUGGCUUGUGGGGCAUGAGGGGAAGGAAGGAGGGUAGUUGUGACCACCAACAUAACCACCACCAAUUGAUACUACUUCCCAGCAUGUUGUUGCCACUUUAAGUAAAACUGUCCUUCCUACUGGAAGAAAAGUUUCUAACACACUGAUGGUCUGGGAAUCUGAGACAGCUUCAGAGGAUCGACAAGUAACCAGAGCUGGCUUUGUGUAUACACAGGCUAGCCAACAUUUAUGGACUGUGGUUUCAGAGGGCACCUCUGCCCUCCAUCCACAUUUCCCCAACUCCCGACCAAAAUGCACCAGUUAG
RNAcentral lists this long non-coding RNA (1450 nucleotides) under Equus asinus (donkey). RNAcentral's name for it is "lncRNA (ENSEASG00005034925.1)". Lineage: Eukaryota; Metazoa; Chordata; Mammalia; Perissodactyla; Equidae. The record is from RNAcentral.